CCCGCAGCGCCUCCGCAUCCACAUCGCCCAGCGGGGCGAGGAGCUCGCCGUGCUGGAGACCCGCUCGGACGAGGAGAGGGAGGCCUGGCUGAAGACCCUGCGGGCCAGGGGAGGAGCGGAGCCAGCCUGCAAGCGGACCCACGCCGGCAGCCCCAGCCCGGGAGAUGCCAGCGGCUGCYCGGCUGCGGGCGGGCUGCUGCUGCGCCGCUUCCCGACCCCCAACGCCUACAUGGACGACCCCUUCGGGCAGCUCCUGCCAGCCGCAUCCCCCGACCCCGUCUACUCCAACGCGGAGCGGCUGCAGCAGCUGCAGCAGAGCUUGGACCGCGCAGCCCACAGGCAGCACAGGAGACCCCUGUCCGCCGUGCCCGCCGGUGCCUACAGCAACGCUCCCGGCAGGGCCGUGCCGUCGCAGGCAGCGUGCGCUGCGCCUCGCCUGGGCAAGGCUGCCAGCCAGCAGCGGGUGGAGGUGAGCCCGGAGCUCAAGAACAGGGAUUUCUUCCGGUCCCAGCGCACGCUGACGCUUCCCGAGAGGAAAGGGGCUCGGGACGGCUUGGAUUUCCUCAUCGGGAAGAGAGCCUUCCCCAAGCUGGAGGAGAAGGUGGGGCAGCUGGAGAGGGCCUGCCGCGUCAAGAGCAGGCUCAAAGCCGGCUCCGAGAUGAACCUGCUGGCCAUCGGCAAGUCACUCAAGGGCCACAUAGCCGCCACCACGAGCUCGGCCGGCUCCGAGGGCUCCUUCUUCACGCCACUCCUGAAGCGCACGGCAUCCGCGAAGAGCGCCCUGAAGCGAGCUCCCUCCGUGGUCAUCAUCGAAAAGGGGAAGGUGCUGCAGAAGAGAAAGGAGUGGGAGAUGAAGUCUGCCAUGUGACCAGCCCCUCGUGCCAGCGCCGUGUCCCCAAGGGCAGGAUCCACCACGCACACGUACCCUGCCGGUCUGGGCAUCUCUCGGCACAUUAACGCUGCACGUGGAUCGUGCAGGACCAGCUUGGUAUCUGUGUUUUUGUUUUUUUUAACCAUUGGUAUCAACGCUAUAACUACAUGUAUCUAUUUUUUAUAUAUAUUAUAUAUAUAUAUAAACUUCCUGCCUGUGGGUUUCCAGUUUCUCUGCCGUGGCGCUGAGGGAGGGCAGCCCUUUGCCGGCCCGCUGCCUUCUCCCCCUCCCUGACCCCGGGUCAGGACUGCUCCCAGCAGCCUCGCGCUUUGGGCCCAGUUUUCCGGCUGCAACCUCAUCUGCCGCCAGCUCUGUCCCUGGCGCAGAUCCUGUUGAAAACGGUGCCCAGGCAGCGCCGCCGGCUCCUUUGGAUGCACCCGAGGACCAAGCCACCAGGGGCAGAUGCAGAAGGGCAGCGGCUCUGCAAGGAGAGGGGCCGUCAGGUGCGAGUUUACCCGUUGGAGGAUGAAGGGGACACCUUGUUUCUGUGCCCCAGCACCCAGUAGCGACAGGUUGGUGCCCUGCCACAGCAUCGUGCCCGCAGCGGGGCCRGAGGAGACUGUGGGCUCCCAGACUGGCACCAGGCCUUUUCGGCACCCAGCCCGCUUUCCAUGCGCUCUG
RNAcentral lists this long non-coding RNA (1552 nucleotides) under Apteryx rowi (Okarito brown kiwi). RNAcentral describes it as "lncRNA (ENSARWG00000011688.1)". Lineage: Eukaryota; Metazoa; Chordata; Aves; Apterygiformes; Apterygidae. The record is from RNAcentral.